RNAcentral lists this ribosomal RNA (497 nucleotides) under uncultured bacterium. RNAcentral's name for it is "partial 16S ribosomal RNA". It matches the Rfam family "Bacterial small subunit ribosomal RNA", at positions 28 to 507 of the family's 1533-position model. The record is from RNAcentral.
GAGGAACGCUGGCGGCGUGCCUAAUACAUGCAAGUCGAGCGAACAGACGAGGAGCUUGCUCCUCUGACGUUAGCGGCGGACGGGUGAGUAACACGUGGAUAACCUACCUAUAAGACUGGGAUAACUUCGGGAAACCGGAGCUAAUACCGGAUAAUAUAUUGAACCGCAUGGUUCAAUAGUGAAAGACGGUUUUGCUGUCACUUAUAGAUGGAUCCGCGCCGCAUUAGCUAGUUGGUAAGGUAACGGCUUACCAAGGCAACGAUGCGUAGCCGACCUGAGAGGGUGAUCGGCCACACUGGAACUGAGACACGGUCCAGACUCCUACGGGAGGCAGCAAUAGGGAAUCUUCCGCAAUGGGCGAAAGCCUGACGGAGCAACGCCGCGUGAGUGAUGAAGGUCUUCGGAUCGUAAAACUCUGUUAUUAGGGAAGAACAAAUGUGUAAGUAACUAUGCACGUCUUGACGGUACCUAAUCAGAAAGCCACGGCUAACUACGUG